This 370-nucleotide ribosomal RNA is filed under the name uncultured organism. RNAcentral's name for it is "partial 16S ribosomal RNA". It matches the Rfam family "Bacterial small subunit ribosomal RNA", at positions 527 to 896 of the family's 1533-position model. The record is from RNAcentral.
GAAGGGGGCUAGCGUUGCUCGGAAUCACUGGGGCGUAAAGGGCGCGUAGGCGGCCAUUCAAGUCGGGGGUGAAAGCCUGUGGCUCAACCACAGAAUUGCCUUCGAUACUGUUUGGCUUGAGUAUGGUAGAGGUUGGUGGAACUGCGAGUGUAGAGGUGAAAUUCGUAGAUAUUCGCAAGAACACCGGUGGCGAAGGCGGCCAACUGGACCAUUACUGACGCUGAGGCGCGAAAGCGUGGGGAGCAAACAGGAUUAGAUACCCUGAUAGUCCACGCCGUAAACGAUGAAUGCCAGCUGUUGGGGUGCUUGCACCUCAGUAGCGCAGCUAACGCUUUAAGCAUUCCGCCUGGGGAGUACGGUCGCAAGAUUA